RNAcentral lists this ribosomal RNA (380 nucleotides) under uncultured eukaryote. Its description in RNAcentral is "partial 18S ribosomal RNA". It matches the Rfam family "Eukaryotic small subunit ribosomal RNA", at positions 592 to 976 of the family's 1831-position model. The record is from RNAcentral.
CAAUAGCGUAUAUUAAAGUUGUUGCGGUUAAAAAGCUCGUAGUUGGAGUUCUGCCAGGUGCCGCCUGUCCGCCCCAGUGGUGAGUACGUGGCGCGCAUUUGGCCCUUUCAAGGGGAGCGUAUCUGCACUUUAUUGUGUGGUGCGGGAUCCUUGACUUUUACUUUGAGGAAAUAGGAGUGUUCCAAGCAGGCUCUCGUCGUGCACAGCUCAGCAUGGAAUAAUAGCAUUGGACCUCGAUUCUAAGCUGUUGGUUGCCAGAAGCGAGGUAAUGAUGAAGAGGGAUAGUUGGGGGCAUUCGUAUUUAACUGUCAGAGGUGAAAUUCUUGGAUUUGUUAAAGGCGGACUACUGCGAAAGCAUCUGCCAUGGAUGUUUCCAUUGA